This 433-nucleotide ribosomal RNA is filed under the name uncultured bacterium. RNAcentral's name for it is "partial 16S ribosomal RNA". It matches the Rfam family "Bacterial small subunit ribosomal RNA", at positions 29 to 507 of the family's 1533-position model. The record is from RNAcentral.
AACGAACGCUGGCGGCAUGCCUAACACAUGCAAGUCGAACGAGACCUUCGGGUCUAGUGGCGCACGGGUGCGUAACGCGUGGGAACCUGCCCUUAGGUUCGGAAUAACUCCCCGAAAGGGGUGCUAAUACCGGGUAAUGUCUUCGGACCAAAGAUUUAUCGCCUUUGGAUGGGCCCGCGUUGGAUUAGCCAGUUGGUAGGGUAAAAGCCUACCAAGGCUACGAUCCAUAGCUGAUCUGAGAGGAUGAUCAGCCACACUGGGACUGAGACACGGCCCAGACUCCUACGGGAGGCAGCAGUGGGGAAUAAUAGACAAUGGGCGAAAGCCUGAUCCAGCAAUGCCGCGUGAGAGAUGAAGGCCUUAGGGUUGUAAAGCUCUUUUAACCGGGAUGAUAAUGACAGUACCGGGAGAAUAAGCUCCGGCUAACUCCGUG